GCCUCACUGCACUCUGGAAUUGGCGCUCAAGAUCAUUGUGAACAUUUACCAUCAAUUCGCUCCUCGGGAAGGCAAGGAUGGCUUCUUGAGCCUCAAGGACAUGAUGGAGCUUCUCAAGAGCCAAGCUCCCACUUUCCUGGCAGCCUGUAACAGAAGCCGUCCAGGCUACAUGUAAGAGCUCUU
This is a long non-coding RNA of Lacerta agilis (Sand lizard), 183 nucleotides long. RefSeq lists it as uncharacterized. The record is from RefSeq and is a predicted model, not a curated record. The transcript has 2 exons. Lineage: Eukaryota; Metazoa; Chordata; Lepidosauria; Squamata; Lacertidae.